GGGUGUUUCUAAAAAUGUUUUUUAAAUCAAAAUCAUUUGUCUAUUACUCAUGGAGAUUUUUAAAGCUGAUCGAGGUUGCAGAGAUAGUAUUAAAGGGGAGUCGUUACGUUUGAGGCUCUUUUGGAUCCUAUGAGGCUAUGAGGGUUUUGGCUUCCCUGUUCAGCCACUUCGAGCCUCGCACCCGAUUAAGACUCUAAAGUAUAAUAAUAU
This 210-nucleotide long non-coding RNA is filed under the name Elaeis guineensis (African oil palm). Its description in RNAcentral is "long non-coding RNA (EGUI_LNC048153)". Lineage: Eukaryota; Viridiplantae; Streptophyta; Magnoliopsida; Arecales; Arecaceae. The record is from RNAcentral.